CCUACGGGUGGCAGCAGUGAGGAAUAUUGGUCAAUGGGCGGGAGCCUGAACCAGCCAAGUCGCGUGAGGGACGACGGUCCUAUGGAUUGUAAACUUCUUUUGUCGGGGCACAAAGGCGCCCACUGGUGGGCGGAUGAGUGUACCCGAAGAACAAGCAUCGGCUAACGCCGUGCCAGCAGCCGCGGUCAUACGGAGGAUGCGAGCGUUAUCCGGAUUUAUUGGGUUAAAAGGGUGCGUAGGGGGACGGUCAAGUCAGCGGUAAAAAUGCGGUGCUAAACGCCGUACAGCCGUUGAAACUGGCAGUCUUGAGUGGGCGAGAGGUAUGCGGAAUGCGUGGUGUAGCGGUGAAAUGCAUAGAUAUCACGCAGAACACCGAUUGCGAAGGCAGCAUACCGGCGCCCUACUGACGCUGAGGCACGAAAGCGUGGGUAUCGAACAGGAUUAGAUACCCUAGUAGUC
This 459-nucleotide ribosomal RNA is filed under the name uncultured bacterium. RNAcentral describes it as "partial 16S ribosomal RNA". It matches the Rfam family "Bacterial small subunit ribosomal RNA", at positions 338 to 795 of the family's 1533-position model. The record is from RNAcentral.